CACGUGUUACAAUGGCAGGUACAGCGGGAAGCCAUAUGGCGACAUAGAGCGGAACCCGAAAACCUGUCCCAGUUCGGACUGGAGUCUGCAACCCGACUCCACGAAGUUGGAUUCGCUAGUAAUCGCGCAUCAGCCAUGGCGCGGUGAAUACGUUCCCGGGCCUUGUACACACCGCCCGUCAAGCCAUGGGAGCCGGGGGCGCCUGAAGUCCGGGACCGCGAGGACCGGCCUAGGGCGAAACUGGUAACUGGGGCUAAGUCGUAACAAGGUAGC
RNAcentral lists this ribosomal RNA (273 nucleotides) under uncultured bacterium. RNAcentral describes it as "partial 16S ribosomal RNA". It matches the Rfam family "Bacterial small subunit ribosomal RNA", at positions 1219 to 1500 of the family's 1533-position model. The record is from RNAcentral.